CCUACGUGGGGCAGCAGUGAGGAAUAUUGGUCAAUGGGCGCGAGCCUGAACCAGCCAAGUAGCGUGAAGGAUGACUGCCCUACGGGUUGUAAACUUCUUUUAUAAAGGAAUAAAGUGAGGCACGUGUGCCUCUUUGCAUGUACCUUAUGAAUAAGGAUCGGCUAACUCCGUGCCAGCAGCCGCGGUAAUACGGAGGAUCCGAGCGUUAUCCGGAUUUAUUGGGUUUAAAGGGAGCGUAGGUGGGUUGUUAAGUCAGUUGUGAAAGUUUGCGGCUCAACCGUAAAAUUGCAAUUGAUACUGGCAGUCUUGAGUACGGUUGAGGUAGGCGGAAUUCGUGGUGUAGCGGUGAAAUGCAUAGAUAUCCCGAAGAACUCCGAUUGCGAAGGCAGCUUACUAAACUGCCACUGACACUGAUGCUCGAAAGUGUGGGUAUCAAACAGGAUUAGAUACCCCUGUAGUC
RNAcentral lists this ribosomal RNA (460 nucleotides) under uncultured bacterium. RNAcentral describes it as "partial 16S ribosomal RNA". It matches the Rfam family "Bacterial small subunit ribosomal RNA", at positions 338 to 795 of the family's 1533-position model. The record is from RNAcentral.